This 446-nucleotide ribosomal RNA is filed under the name uncultured bacterium. Its description in RNAcentral is "partial 16S ribosomal RNA". It matches the Rfam family "Bacterial small subunit ribosomal RNA", at positions 338 to 795 of the family's 1533-position model. The record is from RNAcentral.
CCUACGGGUGGCAGCAGUAGGGAAUGUUCGGCAAUGGGGGGAACCCUGACCGAGCAACGCCGCGUGAACGAAGAAGUUAUUCGGAAUGUAAAGUUCUUUUAACAGGGAAGAAAGAGAAAUUGGACGGGAGCUGAAGAAUAAGCUCCGGCUAACGACGUGCCAGCAGCCGAGGGAAUACGUAGGGAGCGAGCUUGAUCCGGAAUGAUUGGGCGUAAGGGGUGCGGAGAUGGCAUAGUACGUCUUUUGUAAAACUGCUGGGCUCACCCCAGUAGGGCAGAAGAUACGGCAAAGCUAGAGUAUGACAGAGGCAAGUGGCACUCCAUUUGUAGCGGUUCAAUGCGUACAUAUUUGUCAGAACACCAGUGGCGAAGGCGGCUUGCUGGGUCGAUACUGACAUUGAGGCACGAAAGCGUGGGGAGCAAACAGGAUUAGAUACCCGGGUAGUC